GCGUCCAUCGCGCUGGAGCCUGCGAACGCGGCCUAUGAAGUCCGUAUCCUGCCGCCCAACCGCGUGCGGAUUCAGGGCAAGCUGAUCGGGCUCGUUCGCAAGUAUUGAAUUCUUCUUGGGAUCAAUCGUCCGGCUGGAGGUCGCUCUCCGCCGGCGUGGCAUCGACAGGUGCUGCCGGACGAUUUGUCCGGACAGCGGGUGUUUCGGAUUCAUCCUCGACAUUUGCCGGUGACCACGGGCGGUCCACGCCGCGCGGCCGGUUGGCCGUGAUCGCAUAACCGUCGGCGGUUUUACGCAGAGCAAGCGUCCCUCGCCUGCGCAGCAUUUCCUGAU
This 333-nucleotide unclassified non-coding RNA is filed under the name Hevea brasiliensis (rubber tree). Lineage: Eukaryota; Viridiplantae; Streptophyta; Magnoliopsida; Malpighiales; Euphorbiaceae. The record is from RNAcentral.